UCCACGAACUACGCAUUUCUGA
This 22-nucleotide microRNA is filed under the name Haemonchus contortus (barber pole worm). Its description in RNAcentral is "hco-miR-5961". Lineage: Eukaryota; Metazoa; Nematoda; Chromadorea; Rhabditida; Trichostrongylidae. The record is from miRBase by way of RNAcentral.